Molecule: ribosomal RNA, 497 nt
Filed under: uncultured bacterium
Lineage: Bacteria
Description: partial 16S ribosomal RNA
Rfam family: Bacterial small subunit ribosomal RNA
Source: RNAcentral
GAUGAACGCUGGCGGCGUGCCUAAUACAUGCAAGUCGAGCGAACGGACGAGAAGCUUGCUUCUCUGAUGUUAGCGGCGGACGGGUGAGUAACACGUGGAUAACCUACCUAUAAGACUGGGAUAACUUCGGGAAACCGGAGCUAAUCCCGGAUAAUAUUAUGAACCGCAUGGUUCAAAAGUGAAAGACGGUCUUGCUGUCACUUAUAGAUGGAUCCGCGCUGCAUUAGCUAGUUGGUAAGGUAACGGCUUACCAAGGCAACGAUGCAUAGCCGACCUGAGAGGGUGAUCGGCCACACUGGAACUGAGACACGGUCCAGACUCCUACGGGAGGCAGCAGUAGGGAAUCUUCCGCAAUGGGCGAAAGCCUGACGGAGCAACGCCGCGUGAGUGAUGAAGGUCUUCGGAUCGUAAAACUCUGUUAUUAGGGAAGAACAUAUGUGUAAGUAACUGUGCACAUCUUGACGGUACCUAAUCAGAAAGCCACGGCUAACUACGUG